UACGAAGGGGGCUAGCGUUGCUCGGAAUUACUGGGCGUAAAGGGCGCGUAGGCGGACAGUUUAGUCAGAGGUGAAAGCCCAGGGCUCAACCUUGGAACUGCCUUUGAUACUGACUGUCUUGAGUUCGGGAGAGGUGAGUGGAAUGCCGAGUGUAGAGGUGAAAUUCGUAGAUAUUCGGCGGAACACCAGUGGCGAAGGCGGGUCUCUGGGCCGAUACUGACGCUGAGGAGCGAAAGCGUGGGGAGCGAACAGG
This 253-nucleotide ribosomal RNA is filed under the name uncultured bacterium. RNAcentral describes it as "partial 16S ribosomal RNA". It matches the Rfam family "Bacterial small subunit ribosomal RNA", at positions 524 to 776 of the family's 1533-position model. The record is from RNAcentral.